ACCCUCAGGGUUCCGCCCAAGCACAGCAACUUGUAGAGGAGCAAAAAGAACUUCCUUCUGGCACCCGGAAGCCGCCCCCUCCCUCCCCCACGCCAAGGGAGGAGUCUCGGGGGCCUAUCCUCCUCCCAGGCGCUCAGAGAGGGGGACACGAAGCCUCUCCCCGUUGCCCUGGGGGUGGCCUGGCCCAGCCGCCCCUGCGAACCUCGGGAUCCCCACCUAGAUCCGGAGGCUGAGAGCCGCCGGAAUGGGGGGGAGGCGUUGCUAGGAGACCGAGGGCCAGGUCAGGCCCCUCCUGGGCUGUCUCGCCCUGCGCCGGCUCACGUCAGUUAUUCGAAGAACCACCAUCGGCCUCAACAGCGGGCCCGUGUCCACGGCCGAGGCCGCUUUGGCUUCUUCCGCCGCCUUUGCGCCGGCAGCAAACCCAGGUGGCUUCUGCUGCUGCCGGCAACCUGUCCGGCGUCCACUUGGGUAGCGGCCCUGGGGAGCCGCGCGGGCAGGCGGGGACGCGCUCCGAGCCAUGGAGGAGAUACCUAUCCUGGGCCUGGGCACCUGGAAGGCGGUUCCAGGGGAGGUAACAGAGGCUGUAAAAGUGGCGAUAGACGUGGGCUACCGCCACGUGGACUGUGCGUACGUGUACCACAACGAGAAUGAGGUCGGAGUGGGAGUCCAGUCCAAGAUCAAGGAGGGCGUGGUGAGACGGGAGAACCUAUUUAUUGUCAGCAAGCUCUGGUGCACCUGCCAUAAGAAGCCCCUGGUGAAAACAGCCUGCACCCGGAGUCUGAAGGCCUUGAAACUGGACUACUUGGACCUCUACCUCAUGCACUGGCCCAUGGGCUUCAAGUCCGGAGAGGCAGACUUGCCCAUGGACCACAACGGCAUGAUCAUCCCUAGUAACACGGACUUCCUGGACACAUGGGAGGCCAUGGAGAACCUGGUGGCCACAGGCCUGGUCAGAGCCAUCGGGGUGUCAAACUUCAACCACGAGCAGCUCGAGAGAAUUCUGAAUAAACCCAACCUGAGGUUCAAGCCAGUGACCAACCAGAUCGAGUGCCACCCGUAUCUCACUCAGAAGAACUUGAUCAGUUUCUGCCAAUCAAGAAACGUGUCUGUGACGGCUUACCUGCCCCUCGGUGGCUGCAGGAAGCGUGAGGUUUUCCUAAAGAAGGAAGCAUGUUCAUUUGCCCUCGUGGCCUCUGCCCUGUACUCUGCUUUCCAGUGGGGGCAUGCACCUGAUGGAAGACCCUACGAUCCAGACGAUCGCUCAGAAGCACAGGAAGUCCGCAGCCCAGAUUUUGAUCCGAUUUCAGAUCCAGAGGAACGUAAGAGUGAUUCCCAAAUCUGUCAACCCAAAGCGGAUUCUCGAGAACUUCCAGGAAAGUGCUUCCUCCUUUUGAAUCACAUGGCAUCAGAGGCUUUGGGGUCACCUCUUAGCUUGGGGAAGGGAUGUCUUGAUGUCGAGAGCCAGCAGCCGCACCCCCUGUGGCUUUAACACCCAGGGGUGUCAGGGUGAGGCCUCUGGAGUAGAGACAGACCCUUCCCAGCCCGGAGCUAUUGGAACUGGACUGGAUGGAACAGGGGGUGGGGGUGGGCAGGCAGGGCUGCAGUCAGAGUUCUUUCGAGGCUGACCUUCACCCUCGUGCCAGCCACUGCACCCAGACUGCCCUGGCCCUGAUGUGUCGGGGCUCCAGCUUUCUCUCCAGGCAGAACUUUGGUUGCCACUGAGUCUCUGAUUUCUGCUUUGGUUGCCACUAAGUCACUGAUUUCUAUGCAGGUAGAGGCUAGGCCAGUCUCUACCCCUCCUCCGGCCUCAGCUUCUCAGCUGUGGGCUCAGGGUUGGAUGUCCCUGAGUGGACCAGCUCUUAAUGCCGGCAAGGGUCAUAGUCCGCACGUGUGUUAGGUAUAGGAAGAAGGGAGAGCUGCUUAGAAUACUGCUUUCGCAGGACAAGAAAGAACAACUACACAGUGAGCAUCAAUGCCUCCAGGGACCAGGUCUCCCUCACCAAGUGUUUGAUUUUGAAUUAUCAGAAGAGGAUAUGACU
Odocoileus virginianus texanus is the source of this 2039-nucleotide non-coding RNA. NCBI's taxonomy places the organism in Eukaryota, Metazoa, Chordata, Mammalia, Artiodactyla, Cervidae. The record is from RefSeq and is a predicted model, not a curated record.